This 31-nucleotide non-coding RNA is filed under the name Rattus norvegicus (Norway rat). The record is from RNAcentral. Lineage: Eukaryota; Metazoa; Chordata; Mammalia; Rodentia; Muridae.
CCUGUUGAUGGAAAUUAUAAGGUGACUGGGU